AACGAACGCUGGCGGCAUGCCUAACACAUGCAAGUCGAACGAGAUCCUUCGGGGUCUAGUGGCGCACGGGUGCGUAACGCGUGGUAAUCUGCCCUUAGGUUCGGAAUAACAGUUAGAAAUGACUGCUAAUACCGGAUGAUGACGUUAAGUCCAAAGAUUUAUCGCCUGAGGAUGAGCCCGCGUAGGAUUAGCUAGUUGGUGUGGUAAAGGCGCACCAAGGCGACGAUCCUUAGCUGGUCUGAGAGGAUGAUCAGCCACACUGGGACUGAGACACGGCCCAGACUCCUACGGGAGGCAGCAGUGGGGAAUAUUGGACAAUGGGCGCAAGCCUGAUCCAGCAAUGCCGCGUGAGUGAUGAAGGCCUUAGGGUUGUAAAGCUCUUUUACCCGAGAUGAUAAUGACAGUAUCGGGAGAAUAAGCCCCGGCUAACUCCGUG
RNAcentral lists this ribosomal RNA (436 nucleotides) under uncultured bacterium. RNAcentral's name for it is "partial 16S ribosomal RNA". It matches the Rfam family "Bacterial small subunit ribosomal RNA", at positions 29 to 507 of the family's 1533-position model. The record is from RNAcentral.